This 260-nucleotide ribosomal RNA is filed under the name uncultured Actinomycetospora sp. Its description in RNAcentral is "partial 16S ribosomal RNA". It matches the Rfam family "Bacterial small subunit ribosomal RNA", at positions 505 to 761 of the family's 1533-position model. Lineage: Bacteria; Bacillati; Actinomycetota; Actinomycetes; Pseudonocardiales; Pseudonocardiaceae. The record is from RNAcentral.
GUGCCAGCAGCUGCGGUAAUACGUAGGGUGCGAGCGUUGUCCGGAAUUAUUGGGCGUAAAGAGCUCGUAGGCGGUGUGUCGCGUCGGCCGUGAAAACCUGGGGCUUAACUCUGGGCGUGCGGUCGAUACGGGCAUCACUAGAGUUCGGCGAGGGGAGACUGGAAUUCCUGGUGUAGCGGUGAAAUGCGCAGAUAUCAGGAGGAACACCGGUGGCGAAGGCGGGUCUCGUGGGCCGAUACUGACGCUGAGGAGCGAAAGCA